Molecule: ribosomal RNA, 29 nt
Filed under: Clusia sp. JA 3628
Lineage: Eukaryota; Viridiplantae; Streptophyta; Magnoliopsida; Malpighiales; Clusiaceae
Description: partial 18S ribosomal RNA
Source: RNAcentral
CCGUUGGUGAACCUGCGGAAGGAUCAUUG